RNAcentral lists this ribosomal RNA (468 nucleotides) under uncultured bacterium. RNAcentral's name for it is "partial 16S ribosomal RNA". It matches the Rfam family "Bacterial small subunit ribosomal RNA", at positions 28 to 507 of the family's 1533-position model. The record is from RNAcentral.
GACGAACGCUGGCGGCGUGCUUAACACAUGCAAGUCGAACGGAAAGGCCCUGCUUUUGUGGGGUGCUCGAGUGGCGAACGGGUGAGUAACACGUGAGUAACCUGCCCUUGACUUUGGGAUAACUUCAGGAAAAUGGGGCUAAUACCGGAUAGGAGCUCCUGCUGCAUGGUGGGGGUUGGAAAGAUUCGGCGGUUGGGGAUGGACUCGCGGCUUAUCAGCUUGUUGGUGGGGUAGUGGCUUACCAAGGCUUUGACGGGUAGCCGGCCUGAGAGGGUGACCGGCCACAUUGGGACUGAGAUACGGCCCAGACUCCUACGGGAGGCAGCAGUGGGGAAUAUUGCACAAUGGGCGGAAGCCUGAUGCAGCAACGCCGCGUGCGGGAUGACGGCCUUCGGGUUGUAAACCGCUUUCGCCUGUGACGAAGCGUGAGUGACGGUAAUGGGUAAAGAAGCACCGGCUAACUACGUG